Molecule: ribosomal RNA, 465 nt
Filed under: Vreelandella stevensii
Lineage: Bacteria; Pseudomonadati; Pseudomonadota; Gammaproteobacteria; Oceanospirillales; Halomonadaceae
Description: partial 16S ribosomal RNA
Rfam family: Bacterial small subunit ribosomal RNA
Source: RNAcentral
CCUACGGGUGGCAGCAGUGGGGAAUAUUGGACAAUGGGCGAAAGCCUGAUCCAGCCAUGCCGCGUGUGUGAAGAAGGCCUUCGGGUUGUAAAGCACUUUCAGUGGGGAAGAAAGCCUUGGGGCUAAUACCCUCGAGGAAGGACAUCACCCACAGAAGAAGCACCGGCUAACUCCGUGCCAGCAGCCGCGGUAAUACGGAGGGUGCGAGCGUUAAUCGGAAUUACUGGGCGUAAAGCGCGCGUAGGCGGUCUGAUAAGCCGGUUGUGAAAGCCCCGGGCCCAACCUGGGAACGGCAUCCGGAACUGUCAGGCUAGAGUGCAGGAGAGGAAGGUAGAAUUCCCGGUGUAGCGGUGAAAUGCGUAGAGAUCGGGAGGAAUACCAGUGGCGAAGGCGGCCUUCUGGACUGACACUGACGCUGAGGUGCGAAAGCGUGGGUAGCAAACAGGAUUAGAUCCCCUAGUAGUC